This 862-nucleotide long non-coding RNA is filed under the name Durio zibethinus. RNAcentral describes it as "long non-coding RNA (DZIB_LNC002088)". Lineage: Eukaryota; Viridiplantae; Streptophyta; Magnoliopsida; Malvales; Malvaceae. The record is from RNAcentral.
UUUGAAGCAAAAAUAUUUCAUCUUAUUUGUUAGUCCGUCAUCUUGGAAGAUGUUGGUCGGUCCCACGUAUAAUACUGAUAGAAAUAUUGGUCGAGCGAAAAGCUUUAUGAAAAGUCAAUGUUUGAUGUUCCUGCUUACUGAUCAUCUACGUACAUACUUGGUGAGAUGAAAUACAUGAUUUUGAUGAUUUUUGCGUUCGGUAAAGCCCUGUAAAGUGUACACACCAAACAUCUGCUGGGGAAUAUAUCCAUAUCACCAUAUACAUGCGUCUUAACAAAUCCUGGCCAAGGUUAAGUAUGAAAAAUUAUGUGGUUAAAAUAACUUUAUUUUCGUUUUGUAUAUAUAUAUAUAUAUAUAUUAUAUAUUUAUAUUUAUAUAUAAACUUGAACAAACAGCUUCCCCGUCACUUCAGCUGGUGACUUUCAAGAGAUCAUUCUUCCAAAAAGAAUGACUGCAUUUCUUUUCCUGGUGUAAGGUCUUAUGAUCGGAUCUGAUGUCAAUGUCACUUGCUUGACGAAGAUAAGACAUGGAUUUGAACCUGGCUUUAUAGAGGUAUCCGACGGAUAAGAAUUUCCAUGGUACUUGAACAUUUUCCUCAGCAAUAGCAAUCAUGCUUUCGCCAUCUCACUUUAUAUCUAGCUACGUUGCUUACCAGGAAAAAUGAAAACUGCAUUUUAAGAAGAAAGAAGAUAGGUUGAUGUUAAAUAUUUCAUGGUUGAGCUGUGCCAUCAAAACUGAUGAUUGAGUACAAGAUGAGGAUCAAAGAGCUGGGGUUCGCCUAAUAUGGACAAAAGAGAUGUUUGAUUAUUGUCAAGUGUUAAAUCACACACGAAGAAAGCAAAUUGCUUUUAUAUUUACAUCC